CAGUGGUGUACAAACGAAAUGAAUGUU
Molecule: small RNA, 27 nt
Filed under: Bombyx mori (domestic silkworm)
Lineage: Eukaryota; Metazoa; Arthropoda; Insecta; Lepidoptera; Bombycidae
Description: ovarian small RNA-1289
Source: RNAcentral